GAUACUUGUCCCGUUACUUGCCUC
RNAcentral lists this non-coding RNA (24 nucleotides) under Arabidopsis thaliana (thale cress). Lineage: Eukaryota; Viridiplantae; Streptophyta; Magnoliopsida; Brassicales; Brassicaceae. The record is from RNAcentral.